CAUGCGCUUGAUACUGUCUUGCUAGAGAGUAAUAGAGGGAAGCGGAGCUUCCGGUGUAGCGGUGAAAUGCGUAGAUAUUGGAAGGAACACCACUGGCGAAGGCGGCUUCCUGGAUUAUUUCUGACGCUGAGGUGCGAAAGCUAGGGGAGCAAACGGGAUUAGAUACCCCGGUAGUCCUAGCUGUAAACGAUGGUCACUAGGUGUAGGAGGUAUCGACCCCUUCUGUGCCGCAGUUAACACGUUAAGUGACCCGCCUGGGGAGUACGGCCGCAAGGCUAAAACUCAAAAGAAUUGGCGGGGGCCCGCACAAGCGGUGGAGCAUGUGGUUCAAUUCGAUGCUACGCGAAGAACCUUACCUGGGUUUGACAUCCUGCCAGUAAUUUGCUGGAAACAGCGAGUGACCGUAAAAGCGGAGGGCAGGACAGGUGCUGCAUGGCUGUCGUCAGCUCGUGUCGUGAGAUGUUGGGUUAAGUCCCGCAACGAGCGCAACCAUUGUCUUUAGUUGCUAACCCGUAAGGGUGCACUCUAAAGAGACUGCCUGUUGUUUAACAGGAGGAAGGUGAAGAUGACGUCAAGUCAGUAUGGCCCUUACGUCCUGGGCUACACACGUGCUACAAUGGGGCGUACAAUGAGCAGCGAAACCGCGAGGUGGAGCAAAUCUCAAAAAGCGCCCCCCAGUUCAGAUUGGAGGCUGAAAUUCGCCUCCAUGAAGUCGGAAUCGCUAGUAACCGCGCAUCAGCUAUGGCGCAGUGAUACGUUCCCGGGUCUUGUACACACCGCCCGUCA
This 786-nucleotide ribosomal RNA is filed under the name uncultured bacterium. RNAcentral's name for it is "bacterial SSU rRNA". It matches the Rfam family "Bacterial small subunit ribosomal RNA", at positions 620 to 1399 of the family's 1533-position model. The record is from RNAcentral.